Molecule: ribosomal RNA, 301 nt
Filed under: uncultured bacterium
Lineage: Bacteria
Description: partial 16S ribosomal RNA
Rfam family: Bacterial small subunit ribosomal RNA
Source: RNAcentral
CAGUAGCCGCGGGAAUACGGAGGGGGCUAGCGUUGUUCGGAAUUACUGGGCGUAAAGCGUACGUAGGCGGUUUUGUAAGUUAGAGGUGAAAGCCCGGAGCUCAACUCCGGAAUUGCCUUUAAGACUGCAUCACUUGAAUCGUGGAGAGGUGAGUGGAAUUCCGAGUGUAGAGGUGAAAUUCGUAGAUAUUCGGAAGAACACCAGUGGCGAAGGCGGCUCACUGGACACGUAUUGACGCUGAGGUACGAAAGCGUGGGGAGCGAACAGGAUUAGAUACCCCUGUAGUCCCUGUCUCUUAUAC